RNAcentral lists this ribosomal RNA (391 nucleotides) under Pseudomonas sp. Its description in RNAcentral is "bacterial SSU rRNA". It matches the Rfam family "Bacterial small subunit ribosomal RNA", at positions 147 to 533 of the family's 1533-position model. The record is from RNAcentral. Lineage: Bacteria; Pseudomonadati; Pseudomonadota; Gammaproteobacteria; Pseudomonadales; Pseudomonadaceae.
CGUUUCGAAAGGAACGCUAAUACCGCAUACGUCCUACGGGAGAAAGCAGGGGACCUUCGGGCCUUGCGCUAUCAGAUGAGCCUAGGUCGGAUUAGCUAGUUGGUGAGGUAAUGGCUCACCAAGGCGACGAUCCGUAACUGGUCUGAGAGGAUGAUCAGUCACACUGGAACUGAGACACGGUCCAGACUCCUACGGGAGGCAGCAGUGGGGAAUAUUGGACAAUGGGCGAAAGCCUGAUCCAGCCAUGCCGCGUGUGUGAAGAAGGUCUUCGGAUUGUAAAGCACUUUAAGUUGGGAGGAAGGGUUGUAAAUUAAUACUCUGCAGUUUUGACGUUACCGACAGAAUAAGCACCGGCUAACUCUGUGCCAGCAGCCGCGGUAAUACAGAGGGU